This 249-nucleotide ribosomal RNA is filed under the name uncultured bacterium. RNAcentral describes it as "partial 16S ribosomal RNA". It matches the Rfam family "Bacterial small subunit ribosomal RNA", at positions 524 to 771 of the family's 1533-position model. The record is from RNAcentral.
UACGGAGGGUGCGAGCGUUGUCCGGAAUCACUGGGCGUAAAGGGCGCGUAGGCGGCGCGGGCAGUCAACGGUGAAAGCUUGGGGCUCAACCCCGAGUCGGCCGUCGAUACUCCCGGGCUGGAGCACUGUAGAGGCAGGUGGAAUUCCGGGUGUAGCGGUGGAAUGCGUAGAGAUCCGGAAGAACACCGGUGGCGAAGGCGGCCUGCUGGGCAGUAGCUGACGCUGAGGCGCGACAGGCGUGGGGAGCAA